AUACGGAGGGUGCAAGCGUUAAUCGGAAUUACUGGGCGUAAAGCGCGCGUAGGCGGUUUGAUCAGUCGGAUGUGAAAGCCCUGGGCUCAACCUGGGAACUGCAUUCGAUACUGUCAGACUAGAAUAUGGUAGAGGGUAGUGGAAUUCCUGGUGUAGCGGUGAAAUGCGUAGAUAUCAGGAGGAACAUCAGUGACGAAGGCGGCUACCUGGACCAAUAUUGACGCUGAGGUGCGAAAGCGUGGGGAGCAAACAGGAUUAGAAACCCUAGUAGUCC
RNAcentral lists this ribosomal RNA (274 nucleotides) under uncultured bacterium. Its description in RNAcentral is "partial 16S ribosomal RNA". It matches the Rfam family "Bacterial small subunit ribosomal RNA", at positions 523 to 796 of the family's 1533-position model. The record is from RNAcentral.